Molecule: ribosomal RNA, 253 nt
Filed under: uncultured bacterium
Lineage: Bacteria
Description: partial 16S ribosomal RNA
Rfam family: Bacterial small subunit ribosomal RNA
Source: RNAcentral
UACGAGGGGUCCUAGCGUUGUUCGGAAUCAUUGGGCGUAAAGCGGGUGUAGGCGGAUUAGCAAGUCAGAAGUGAAAGCCCUGGGCUCAACCCAGGAAGUGCUUUUGAAACUGCUAAUCUUGAGUGUGGAAGAGGGUAGUAGAAUUUCUGGUGUAGUGGUGAAAUACGUAGAUAUCAGAAGGAACACCGGUGGUGAAGACGGCUGCCUGGUCCAACACUGACGCUCAGACCCGAAAGCGUGGGGAGCAAACAGG